Molecule: long non-coding RNA, 223 nt
Organism: Candoia aspera
Lineage: Eukaryota; Metazoa; Chordata; Lepidosauria; Squamata; Candoiidae
Exons: 2
Source: RefSeq, a predicted model, not a curated record
CUUGCAAAUCAUUCCUAGGCCCCUCUCUUAAUGGGUAAACCAUUUUUUCUCUUUUAGGGUCUUGUAUCUUUUGAGGAGGUGGUUGUGUCUUUCUCUGAGGAGGAGGGGGCUCAGCUGAAUAUCGAUCAAAAGGCUCUGCAUAGGGAGGUCAUGCUGGAGAAUUCCAGGAAUGUGGAAUCUCUGGGAAUAAAUGGGUAUAAGAAUGAAAAUGACAAGCAAGUAU